GAGGGUGCAGCUGCUGUCCCUGGCCUCGGCGCCCUUGUCCCUCGGUGCUGUCAGAGUGCUGUGGGCGUCCUGGCCGUACGUGUCUGGGUGCUGGCUGCAGUCCUGGCAUGGAGGGAGGCUGAGGCAGAAGGGUUGCACAUUGAACCCCCGGGGACAGCUUAGCAAGACCCUGUCUCAAAAACUAAACAGGGCUGUGGGUGUAGCUCAGUGGUUAGAGCACCCCUGGGUUCAAGUCCCAGUCUCGCCCCCCCAAAACGGUGCCAAACCGGGCCUGUCACUCUGUGGACGGUCAGACCCCAGCAGCUCGCUGUGUCUCCGGGAGAGCCUCCUCCCGGCAGGUAGGUCCCGGGCAUCCGGGCCAGCUGGAGUCGGCUGACAGCCCAUUUGGAGCCCAAAGACAGAAGGACGAUGCUGGGCAGUUCAUGAGGCGCUGUGGGCCUCACCGCCCUGGCCCGUGCCUGUCUCCUGGGCCCAGGGAAACCUGGGGAAUUCCACCGCCCAGCUUUCAGCUUCUCCUCUCCGUUUGAAACAAGUCCCCGGACAGGUUAGCUGCGAGGAACCGGAACCAAAGCCCUGGCCAAGCCAGAAUGGUGCCGAAGGGUCCAGCGUCUGCUCCUUUCUGACAAGUCUGCCCCUGCUGCAGCCGCACGUGCUGCUCCUGUCACGGGUGCACGGUGCUUAGUGCACAUCCCAGCUGCGUGCCCCAGCUCGAGUGUCCUGCGGCCGGCGGCAGCUCUGGAGGGAUGUGCGCCUCACCCGCGUGACACCGCAGGACCCGGGUGAGGUUGGCGGCCAGGCCUCAGACUCCGUGUGUGGGACAUGUGCUGUCCGGGAGCCAGAAGCUGACCUUCCUGAAGGCUCCUGCUUAUCUGAUUUCAUCCCUGGAGCAGCCAUGUGACACAGCCGUGAUUUCCCUCUCGUCACUGAAGGAGCUGUAGUUAUUAAGUGACCUAGCCAAGGUCAUGCGCAGGGUAAGUGCAGUUGCUGAUAUUUAAAUCCAGGCAUUUCUGAGUUCAAAACCAGUGCUUCCCUCAGCGUUUGGAGUAAAGUCUGAAAUGUUUGUGAGCCGAGGCCCUCUGAGAACUGACAUGAGCCAGAGUGAAGGGCGGACACCCAGGGACCUGGUUUCCAGGUGCCCAGGGGUGGCCGAGGGAGUUCCCUUCUGGAGAGGCAGGGCUGUGAUGGGUACCCACUGGUG
RNAcentral lists this long non-coding RNA (1198 nucleotides) under Heterocephalus glaber (naked mole-rat). RNAcentral's name for it is "lncRNA (ENSHGLG00100032891.1)". Lineage: Eukaryota; Metazoa; Chordata; Mammalia; Rodentia; Bathyergidae. The record is from RNAcentral.